GAUGAACGCUGGCGGCGUGCCUAAUACAUGCAAGUCGAGCGAACAGACGAGGAGCUUGCUCCUCUGACGUUAGCGGCGGACGGGUGAGUAACACGUGGAUAACCUAUCUAUACGACUGGGAUAACUUCGGGAAGCCGGAUCUAAUACCGGAUAAUAUAUUGAACCGCAUGGUUCAAUAGUGAAAUACGGUUUUGCUGUCACUUAUUGAUGGUUCCUCGACGCAUUAGCUAGUUGGUAAGGUAACGGCUUACCAAGGCAACGAUGCGUAGCCGACCUGAGAGGGUGAUCGGCAACACUGGAACUGAGACACGGUCCAGACUCCUACGGGAGGCAGCAGAAGGGAAUCUUCCGCAAUGGGCGAAGGCUUGACGGAGCAACGCCGCGUGAGUGAUGAAGGUCUCGGGAUCGUAAAACUCUGUUAUUAGGGAAGAACAAAUGUGUAAGUAACUAUGCACGUCUUGACGGUACCUAAUCAGAAAGCCACGGCUAACUACGUG
Molecule: ribosomal RNA, 497 nt
Filed under: uncultured bacterium
Lineage: Bacteria
Description: partial 16S ribosomal RNA
Rfam family: Bacterial small subunit ribosomal RNA
Source: RNAcentral